AUGAGUAUUCAUGUGGCCUGGGGUUUGGGCUCAGUGUGGAACAUUUACCUAGCAUGUGUGAGGCACUGGGCUCGAUUCUUAGCAUCGCACAUAAACAAAUAAAUAAAGGUUCAUUAACAACUAAAAAAAUUCUUUUUAAACAAUUAGUAUUUAUUACUGAGAAAGAACAAUGUAAGAAACGUUUAUAGGGGCUGGGAUUGUGGCUCAGUGGUAGAGACUCGCCUAGCAUGGGCCAGGGAUUUGAUCCUCAGCACCACAUAAAAAUAAAUGCAUUGUGUGGUGUCCAUCUACACCAAAAAAUAAAGUUAAAAAAGUUAAAAAAAAAAAAAGAUCCAUCUAUAGGUUAGUGGCUGAACACAAGGUCCCUGGUGGCAGCCUGAGGGAGAUUGUACCCUGGCCCCACAACUUACUAUAGCACAAGACCAAGAUGUGUUAUAUCAGGAAAAGUGCUGAAACAUGCUGAGCUUAUUGUAAGUGCUCCACAAAUAUUAACGCCUCUCCUUUGUUAAAGCAGGACUACUCAGAGGUGAAAUGACAGACCCUGAGAGCUGUGACCUCAUCAGCCCGUCCCAGUCGGAAUGGACUGUCCAGGUGGUAACUGCAGGCAGUGGGCGGGGGGGGGAGUGGCUGGAGGAGGUGGCUCAUGGGGGCUGCCCUGGAAGGCACAUCUUCCCUGUGCCCCUCCUCCCCUGCCCUGGUCUUGUGCCAUGACAGACGACCUCACUUUGGCUCAGAAUAACGUAGUUGACCCACCAUGAACUAAAUCUCUGAAACCAUGAGCCAAAAUAGUCUUUUUCUCCUCUCAGCUCUACUUGCCGGAUAUUUUGGUCAUAGUGACAUAAAGCUGGCUAAGGCACUAUUACUAUUAUUUUAAAAUGUAAUUGAGAUCACAAUUCUAAUAAGGCCAUUGCCUGUUAAAAUACCUUCCUGGCUCCUUGUUUCCCCAGGCCACCCCGGGUCCAGACCAGGGCUGGCCUCCUCCUCGUUUCCUGUCGCUCCUCUCUGAUCCAGCUUUACCCACAGAUCCCAGAAGUGCCUGUUCCCUUCCUUCCCCCCCCCCCCAUCCACCUGGCUGUAUCUAUUUGUCCUUGAACUAGAUCAGAUGCCACUUCUCCCUGGAAGCUCCUGCUGACGGGAUCGACUUGGCUCUCAUCUGUGUCCUGCUGCUGUUUGCUGUGACAUGUGUUGGCCUGCUCUCCUUCUCUGUCCCCCCGUGACAAUCACUCCUUUGGGGAGGAAGUCAUCUUUUUCUCCAGUGUAUCCCCAGUGUGUAGGACAGAGCAAGGAUUUCAAAAAUGCUCAGAAUCCUAGAAAUCACUUUAAAGACUUAUGAGGAGGCUUAAGACUGAAGUACCUGCAUGAAUCAGCAAAAGUCCUGGACUGAAGCCCAAGAUCAGGAGAAACAGAAAAGUGGGCACCCACCAGCCCACUCCGGCACCCGCAUGUGAAGGACCAGAAUCCACUCCCCUUCCGCUUUCUGUCCCCAGGUUCCCUAAGACAACGUCAGCAGUCAUGUUCUCAGGUGGCCCAGGUCUUGGAGGCUGUUACCUCCUGUGUUUCCUGUGAGCAACCACAGCACUCACUGAUCCUCAACAGGAAACUCAGCAGGCACCGUCUAGGGCCUUUAGAACUGAUUAUGGUUCUUAAAGAUUGGCUUCUUAUAGUUGAGCAAGAGUUAACAGCAGCACCAGAGAGGUCUUGUGGUCUGGGUCUGUGCCUUGACCCCUCACUUGCUGGCUGCGUGACCUUAAGGAAGUGGUUAACCUCUCUAAACCUCAGCUUCCUCAUCUGCAAAACGAGGUUGCUGAGUUCCUACUUGAUUGCAGAAUCACAUCGGUUACACAUCCACGUUUUCUCUUGACAACAGACAUUAGAAGCAUUCCAGAAGCCCGAAGAAGGCAGGAAACAGCUGGGGAUAAAGACAAGCGGAGACCUGGGGUUCCCAGUCCCCAGUUCACCAUUGCAUCCACUCCACUGCCACCUGCCUCCUCCCCUCCCCAAGCUCUGGUCCCGGGUCCAGGCGCCCUGCCUUCCCUUCCUGUCUUCAGCUUCCCACCAGGAGAAGGACCACGGUGGCAAAAGCUACCAUCCCACUCCAUGCAGGGGCUCUUCUCCGGCGCCCCCGGGUAUCUACCCUGAGACUGUGGCACCCUGCCUCCGGCCCCAGGGCUGCUCAGAACAGGCCCUGGAUUUCCAGUCAGGUCAUCAGUCUUCAGCCCAGUCCUUGGGCAGAAAGUGUGUACUAUGUGACCAAAAUAGAAAGAAAAUAUCCCGAGAAUCAUGACGUGCAAAUUUAAAGGAGGAGAUAUGAGGAUGGGAGGGCCCUCCCCAGGGACUUCCUCCCCAGGGACUUCUUACAGUGUUCCAUGCAGAGGUGUUUGGCCUUUGGUCAAAUACGAGAAGACAAGGUCGUCUCUUCAGAAGGAAAAACAAUGUCAGGGACAAAAGGAGGGAGUAGAGAAGGAGAGAAACUUUUCUUCUGUGUUCCUUUAAAAUAUCAACCCCAUGCGUGUUAUGACCUCUUUGAAAAGUGAGUCAGAGCCGGGCAUGAUGGUGCACACCUCUAACCCUAGCAUCUUGGGAGGCUGAGGCAGGAGGAUCACAAGUUUAAAGGAAACCUCAGCAACUUAGUGAAGGCCUGUCUCAAAAUUAAAUGAAAAAAAAAUUGAAAGGGCUGGGGUUCAAUUUCCAGUACCACAAAUAAAUAAAUAGUAAAAUAAAAGAAAACUAAGUUACUAUUUUGAAAAUGCCUGCAGUGUGCAGAACUCACUAACCUCCAAAGCAGACCAUUGGCUAGAACUGGCAGAAAGUUGUUUCCAAAGUGGACAGAAACCAGCCUCUGUGGGCUCCUGCUCCUCUGCCCCUCCCCAAGAGUAACAGGACAGUGGCGGCCAUCCUGUCCAGUGUAAAAAGGUAAAAAAUAUUUAAUGACAACUCUUUUCUUCUUUUAUCUUCGGUGAUGAAAAUGUCAUCUUUUCACAAUGUAGAUAGAAGUAUUAAAGGAAAACAAAGCUGA
Non-coding RNA from Ictidomys tridecemlineatus (thirteen-lined ground squirrel), 3016 nucleotides. Lineage: Eukaryota; Metazoa; Chordata; Mammalia; Rodentia; Sciuridae. The record is from RefSeq and is a predicted model, not a curated record.